This 328-nucleotide ribosomal RNA is filed under the name uncultured eukaryote. Its description in RNAcentral is "partial 18S ribosomal RNA". It matches the Rfam family "Eukaryotic small subunit ribosomal RNA", at positions 1470 to 1796 of the family's 1831-position model. The record is from RNAcentral.
CCCUUAGAUGUUCUGGGCCGCACGCGCGCUACACUGUUCGACGCAGCGAGUCUUAACCUUGACCGAAAGGUUUGGGUAAUCUUCAGCAAAGUCGAACGUGAUGGGGAUCGAUCAUUGCAAUUAUUGAUCGUGAACGAGGAGUUCCUAGUAAGUGCAAGUCAUCAGCUUGCGCUGAUCACGUCCCUGCCCUUUGUACACACCGCCCGUCGCUCCUACCGAUUGGGUGUGCUGGUGAAAUGUUCGGAUCGGCCGUUUGUCGCGGUUUCCGCGUCAUGUGGCUGAGAAGUUCAUUAAACCCUCCCACCUAGAGGAAGGAGAAGUCGUAACA